RNAcentral lists this ribosomal RNA (231 nucleotides) under uncultured Staphylococcus sp. RNAcentral's name for it is "partial 16S ribosomal RNA". It matches the Rfam family "Bacterial small subunit ribosomal RNA", at positions 109 to 334 of the family's 1533-position model. Lineage: Bacteria; Bacillati; Bacillota; Bacilli; Caryophanales; Staphylococcaceae. The record is from RNAcentral.
AGUAACACGUGGAUAACCUACCUAUAAGACUGGGAUAACUUCGGGAAACCGGAGCUAAUACCGGAUAAUAUUUUGAACCGCAUGGUUCAAAAGUGAAAGACGGUCUUGCUGUCACUUAUAGAUGGAUCCGCGCUGCAUUAGCUAGUUGGUAAGGUAACGGCUUACCAAGGCAACGAUGCAUAGCCGACCUGAGAGGGUGAUCAGCCACACUGGAACUGAGACACGGUCCAG